AACACGAGGAAGGCGCUGCUUCGCGUUCACAUGAAAAUGUGGUAGUGUGAAAUCAAGUUUGCAAGCGGUAGGACGCGUCGGUGUGUGUCCGUUUUUUCUCUCGUGAAACCAGUACGGAAAAACUAUUUGAAAUCGUAACACACGCACGAACGGAAGUGAGCACGGACCACGAUAGAAAUAAUUAAUUGGUUGCAGUGCCAAAAACAAAAGGACAGGAGAGGCAGGAACGAUCAUUCAACGCGUUAGCGCCGGACGAAGGAGAAGCGGCAGGAAGGCAGGAACGAUCCCCCAACGUGCUCGCGAAGGCAGGAACGCGCCUGGUAGAGGAGAGGCGGCAGGAAGGUAGGGACGAUCAUCCAGCACGCUAGCGCAGCACUUGGGAACAGCGAGGGGGAGGCAAGCAGGAAUAAUUUUUAACGCGUGCACACCAUUCGACGAAGACAACGCUGGAUGAAAGGAAGAACGAGGAGAGAAGGCAGGCAAGACGGGUAUGUGUGUAUUCCGCACCGGUUUUCGGCAGUGUGAAUUGUGUGAGUAUGUAAAUUUGUAUGUGCGAGUAAGAAGGUAAAAUAAAGAGCGUAAGCAUGUACGGAAUCGACAAAUGAGAGAAAGAGCUUUGUAGGGAGAAUGAAGAGAAUGAAAGAAAUUGAGAAGGGAUGUAGCAUACAUAAACCAAAUGUAUGAUACACGCUGUCGCACGAUUUCAAAAACCUUCUCUAUAGUUCUGCUAUCGAGAACGAUUUGACCGCGCUAUAGAGAACACUUUUUCUAUACAAAAAAAACCGCUUGCAACGUGACAAUGUCGGUUGGGAGGAGA
Molecule: long non-coding RNA, 817 nt
Organism: Anopheles coluzzii
Lineage: Eukaryota; Metazoa; Arthropoda; Insecta; Diptera; Culicidae
Exons: 3
Source: RefSeq, a predicted model, not a curated record